UGCAGUCGAGCGAAGUCUUCGGACUUAGCGGCGAACGGGUGAGUAACGCGUGGGAACGUGCCCUUCAGUACGGAAUAGCCUAGGGAAACUUGGAUUAAUGCCGUAUACGCCCUACGGGGGAAAGAUUUAUCGCUGAAGGAUCGGCCCGCGUCUGAUUAGGUAGUUGGCGGGGUAAAGGCCCACCAAGCCGACGAUCAGUAGCUGGUUUGAGAGGAUGAUCAGCCACACUGGGACUGAGACACGGCCCAGACUUCUACGGAAGGCAGCAGUGGGGAAUCUUGGACAAUGGGGGCAACCCUGAUCCAGCCAUGCCGCGUGAAUGAAGAAGGCCUUAGGGUUGUAAAGCUCUUUCAACGGUGAAGAUAAUGACGGUAGCCGUAGAAGAAGCCCCGGCUAACUCCGUGCCAGCAGCCGCGGUAAUACGGAGGGGGCUAGCGUUGUUCGGAAUUACUGGGCGUAAAGCGCGCGUAGGCGGACUGGCAAGUCAGGGGUGAAAUCCCGGGGCUCAACUCCGGAACUGCCUUUGAUACUGCCAUGUCUAGAGUUCUGGAGAGGUGAGCGGAAUUCCGAGUGUAGAGGUGAAAUUCGUAGAUAUUCGGAGGAACACCAGUGGCGAAGGCGGCUCACUGGCCAGACACUGACGCUGAGGCGCGAAAGCGUGGGUAGCAAACAGGAUUAGAUACCCUGGUAGUCCACGCCGUAUACGAUGAAUGCCAGACGUCGGGCAGCUUGCUGUUCGGUGUCACACCUAACGGAUUAAGCAUUCCGCCUGGG
This 774-nucleotide ribosomal RNA is filed under the name uncultured bacterium. Its description in RNAcentral is "bacterial SSU rRNA". It matches the Rfam family "Bacterial small subunit ribosomal RNA", at positions 56 to 877 of the family's 1533-position model. The record is from RNAcentral.